CAGACUACAGCUUUUCACCUGUGUUCUUCUGGAAGCUGGGCAUUUGUAUACCUUCUGAGUAACUUUCGCUGCAGCCAUUUUCUGUGAUUUUCCAGCGCAACUGUGCUUGUCAGGCCAAUGAAGCUAUCAGUGCAAAGGGAACCAGUGAUCAGCAGAUACCAGAAUUGUUUUUACAGUUGGAACUGGAAACAAAAUACUGCAGGACUCCUAAGGAUGGUGAAGUCUGUCCUACUGCCACUAGCUGAAUAAAUGCAAGUUUGGUGCUACCAGCGUGCCCCCUUGCGUUCUGGGAGAGCAUGCGUGAAAAGCGAGAUGGAAAACACCCAGGAAGACACAAAUGCCAGGUUGCAAGGAAAAUCUAGGAGGACGCUGCAUUUUCACAUAGCUGGAACGUGAAGGCUGGCCUCCAGCUGCAGCCCAACAACGCAGAAGGGCCUCAGCUAACAAACCCUGCCUGUUCUUUAGAAGCAGCACAUCCACAGCAGUGGUUUCCAGUGCUAGGUAAGUACUGUUCCUUUCAAAGGCGCUAUAAAGGAGCUCUGUAGGUGUGUUACUGCAAAAUGUGUGGUUUGUGUCUUCAGGGGGGUUUAUUAGAGCUUCACUUGUAGCCUGU
This is a long non-coding RNA of Falco peregrinus (peregrine falcon), 613 nucleotides long. RefSeq lists it as uncharacterized. Lineage: Eukaryota; Metazoa; Chordata; Aves; Falconiformes; Falconidae. The transcript is spliced from 4 exons. The record is from RefSeq and is a predicted model, not a curated record.